Molecule: ribosomal RNA, 1843 nt
Filed under: marine metagenome
Description: bacterial LSU rRNA
Rfam family: Archaeal large subunit ribosomal RNA
Source: RNAcentral
CCCAAAGUAACCGCUAAGUGUUAAAGAACAAAUGGUGUCUGGCGGCAGAGACAGCUGGGAGGUUGGCUUAGAAGCAGCCAUCCUUUAAAGAGUUCGUAACAGAUCACCAGUCGAGUUUCUGGGCCCAGAAAAUGGACGGGACUAAGCGGUUCACCGAUACUUCGGGCCACCGAAAGGUGAUGCGGUAGAGAGGCGUCGUGCGUGGAUGGAAGCAGGGGCGUGAGUUCCUGUGGACCGCGUUCGAAUGAUAAUCAUGGGAAGAGUAGUAGCGUAGACGGGUGAGAAUCCCGUCCGCCGUAGGGGCUAGGGUUCCUCGACGAUGUUCAUCAGUCGAGGGUUAGUCGGUCCUAAGGUUUCCCCUAACAGGAGAAAUCGAAAGGGAAGCAGGUUAAUAUUCCUGCACCAGUCCGUAUUUUGUCCAGUUCUUGACACAUCGGGUGCGAUGGAGCACUCCUGUCGGAGUGUUGCUGAUCGCGAUAAAGUCGUGGAGAACCGUAAUGGUGAGAAGCGACCUAAGCGGUCGGGAGGCGGAGUAUUUCGCUUCCGUUCUAUCCUGGUGUCCGUGAAAAGGGAGCUGGAGCCGUACUGACUGUCCGUACCGAGAUCUGACACAGGUGCCCCUAGGUGAGUAGCCUAAGGCGUCGCGGCAUAAUCAAGGCAAGGGAAUUCGGCAAAUUGGCCCCGUACCUUCGGUAGAAGGGGUGCCAGCCUUGCAGAAGGCUGGUCGCAGUGACCAGGGAGCUCCGACUGUUUACUAAAAACACAGGUGGCUGCUAGUCCGUAAGGAUGUGUAUAGCCGCUGAAUCCUGCCCAGUGGCGGUAUCUGAAACCCGGUUUCACCCGGACGAAGGACCGCUAAACGGCGGGGGUAACUAUGACCCUCUUAAGGUAGCGUAAUACCUUGUCGCUUAAUUGGCGACUUGCAUGAAUGGCCCAACGAGAGUCCUACUGUCUCCGCGGUACGUCCGGCGAAAUUGACAUUACUGGCGCACAGUCCAGUACCCUCAACCUGCAAGCGAAGACCCCGUAGAGCUUUACUGCAGCCUGGCGUUGUAUAAUCGCACUUCACGUGCUGAGUAGACGGGAGACGUUGAUCCACGGGACGCCAGUCCCGUGAGUAGUCGUCCAUAGAGACACCGUCCUUGGAGUGUAAUUGUACUCACUCUUCAUGAGAACACCGCUUGGUGGGCAGUUUGGGUGGGGCGCCACGCGCUCGAAAACAUAACAAGCGUGCCCAAAGGUCAGCUUAGGUGGUUCAGUCUCCACCGUUAACUGUAAGGGGAAAAGCUGGCUUGACUUGGAUCGGACCAAUAACGAUCGAAGAUGCGAAAGCACGGCCUAACGAACCAAUGUACCUCAUUUCUGGGGGUCAUUGAUAACAGAAAAGUUACCUCGGGGAUAAUUGAGUUGUCACCAGCAAGAGCACACAUCGACCUGGUGGCUUGCUACUUCGAUGUCGUCUCUUCCCAACCUCCUGGUGCAGCAGCUGGGAAGGGUGGGGUUGUUCGCCCAUUAAAGGGGAUCGUGAGAUGGGUUUAGACCGUCGUGAGACAGGUUUGUUGCUUUGCGGUUGAGGCGUGUAAGAUGCCUGAUCGGAAGGGUCCUUUAGUACGAGAGGAACGAGGACUCGGAGCCACUAGUUUACCAGUUGUCCGGCAGGGCAAUGCUGGGUAGCCACGCUCCAUGUGGAUAAGAGCUGAAAGCAUCUAAGCUCGAAGUCACCCGAAAGACGAGGCAUCUCAGGGGACUCGUAGAAGACGAGUUUGAUAGACAGCGGGUGUAAGCACCGAGGUUCGCCGAGGUGUUCAGCCCAGCUGCACUAACCCCCCGAGCAUUCAUUUUU